UAGUCAUGCAGCCCAUGAGGAAGAGAACCUCCGGGGGCAGGGAGGUUCGACUCGAGCGAAGCGAGAGAACGUUGCGCCAGCAACGGCCCGCAGGGCGAGCCACGAAGUGGCGAGUAAUCCUCUAUCACCGACCA
This 134-nucleotide small RNA is filed under the name Escherichia coli. RNAcentral describes it as "RtT sRNA". It matches the Rfam family "RtT RNA". Rfam says of the family: This family represents a bacterial cis-regulatory element known as RtT RNA. The exact function of RtT is unknown although it is thought that it may be involved in changing the cellular response in relation to amino acid starvation. Lineage: Bacteria; Pseudomonadati; Pseudomonadota; Gammaproteobacteria; Enterobacterales; Enterobacteriaceae. The record is from RNAcentral.